RNAcentral lists this transfer RNA (76 nucleotides) under Clostridia bacterium. RNAcentral's name for it is "tRNA-Thr". It matches the Rfam family "tRNA". From Rfam's summary of the family: Transfer RNA (tRNA) molecules are approximately 80 nucleotides in length. Their secondary structure includes four short double-helical elements and three loops (D, anti-codon, and T loops). The record is from RNAcentral. Lineage: Bacteria; Bacillati; Bacillota; Clostridia. RNAcentral also lists the same sequence under 1 other name.
GCUGCCCUAGCUCAGCAGGCAGAGCACUUCCUUGGUAAGGAAGAGGUCGGCGGUUCGAAUCCGCUGGGCAGCUCCA